AACACCAUAUUCUGCACCAAAGGAUUCAUUACCUUUAGACUAGGUUCUUUGACUCACACAGUUAUAGUUACAAAUCAAAGUUGCCUUUCAGAAAUGAAGUACUUUUUGGACUUAGGAAAUUUAAGACAAACUAUGUUGGUAUCACUAAGGGCAUGUUUGGAUGUAUAUGUACCCUUGGUGUCACGAAAUCGGGCUGACACCGUGAUUUUGUUGAACUUUUUUUUUUUUUUUGACUAAAUGAUUUUGUUGAACUUCUGAAGUGUAGUUUUUGACAAAAUUAUAGUAGUACACCGUGAUUCUGUCAAACUCGUGAUCAUUCUAAACAUGCACUAAAUAUCAUAUUUAUUUUAAGGAAAAUGCUAACCAGGGGCACUAGUUAAGGAAACAAAUUUAGUAAAACAGUCAUCACACUUGUGUAGUCCAUCUUUUCAAAAUAUUGAGAAUGCUUCAAUACAAAAUUUACUAUUUUUAGUUUCCUUAACUUGUGUCUUAGGGAGACUAGGGUCGAAGUGGAUACCGUGACACAUCUAAGACUACAUAAUCAAAGAGAUACUAUAACCUAUCUAGAUG
This 570-nucleotide long non-coding RNA is filed under the name Trifolium pratense (red clover). RNAcentral's name for it is "long non-coding RNA (TPRA_LNC010510)". Lineage: Eukaryota; Viridiplantae; Streptophyta; Magnoliopsida; Fabales; Fabaceae. The record is from RNAcentral.